This 2903-nucleotide ribosomal RNA is filed under the name Klebsiella quasipneumoniae. Its description in RNAcentral is "23S ribosomal RNA". It matches the Rfam family "Bacterial large subunit ribosomal RNA". The record is from RNAcentral. Lineage: Bacteria; Pseudomonadati; Pseudomonadota; Gammaproteobacteria; Enterobacterales; Enterobacteriaceae.
GGUUAAGCGACUAAGCGUACACGGUGGAUGCCCUGGCAGUCAGAGGCGAUGAAGGACGUGCUAAUCUGCGAAAAGCGUCGGUAAGGUGAUAUGAACCGUUAUAGCCGGCGAUGUCCGAAUGGGGAAACCCAGUGUGAUUCGUCACACUAUCGUUAACUGAAUACAUAGGUUAACGAGGCGAACCGGGGGAACUGAAACAUCUAAGUACCCCGAGGAAAAGAAAUCAACCGAGAUUCCCCCAGUAGCGGCGAGCGAACGGGGAGCAGCCCAGAGUCUGAAUCAGCUUGUGUGUUAGUGGAACGGUCUGGAAAGUCCGACGGUACAGGGUGAUAGUCCCGUACACCAAAAUGCACAGGCUGUGAACUCGAAGAGUAGGGCGGGACACGUGGUAUCCUGUCUGAAUAUGGGGGGACCAUCCUCCAAGGCUAAAUACUCCUGACUGACCGAUAGUGAACCAGUACCGUGAGGGAAAGGCGAAAAGAACCCCGGCGAGGGGAGUGAAAAAGAACCUGAAACCGUGUACGUACAAGCAGUGGGAGCACCUUUAUGGUGUGACUGCGUACCUUUUGUAUAAUGGGUCAGCGACUUAUAUUCUGUAGCAAGGUUAACCGUAUAGGGGAGCCGCAGGGAAACCGAGUCUUAACUGGGCGUUAAGUUGCAGGGUAUAGACCCGAAACCCGGUGAUCUAGCCAUGGGCAGGUUGAAGGUUGGGUAACACUAACUGGAGGACCGAACCGACUAAUGUUGAAAAAUUAGCGGAUGACUUGUGGCUGGGGGUGAAAGGCCAAUCAAACCGGGAGAUAGCUGGUUCUCCCCGAAAGCUAUUUAGGUAGCGCCUCGUGAACUCAUCUUCGGGGGUAGAGCACUGUUUCGGCUAGGGGGUCAUCCCGACUUACCAACCCGAUGCAAACUACGAAUACCGAAGAAUGUUAUCACGGGAGACACACGGCGGGUGCUAACGUCCGUCGUGAAGAGGGAAACAACCCAGACCGCCAGCUAAGGUCCCAAAGUCAUGGUUAAGUGGGAAACGAUGUGGGAAGGCACAGACAGCCAGGAUGUUGGCUUAGAAGCAGCCAUCAUUUAAAGAAAGCGUAAUAGCUCACUGGUCGAGUCGGCCUGCGCGGAAGAUGUAACGGGGCUAAACCAUGCACCGAAGCUGCGGCAGCGACACUAUGUGUUGUUGGGUAGGGGAGCGUUCUGUAAGCCUGCGAAGGUGGCCUGUGAGGGUUGCUGGAGGUAUCAGAAGUGCGAAUGCUGACAUAAGUAACGAUAAAGCGGGUGAAAAGCCCGCUCGCCGGAAGACCAAGGGUUCCUGUCCAACGUUAAUCGGGGCAGGGUGAGUCGACCCCUAAGGCGAGGCCGAAAGGCGUAGUCGAUGGGAAACAGGUUAAUAUUCCUGUACUUGGUGUUACUGCGAAGGGGGGACGGAGAAGGCUAUGUUAGCCGGGCGACGGUUGUCCCGGUUUAAGCAUGUAGGCUGGUUAUCCAGGCAAAUCCGGAUAAUCAAGGCUGAGGUGUGAUGACGAGGCACUACGGUGCUGAAGUAACAAAUGCCCUGCUUCCAGGAAAAGCCUCUAAGCAUCAGGUAACAUCAAAUCGUACCCCAAACCGACACAGGUGGUCAGGUAGAGAAUACCAAGGCGCUUGAGAGAACUCGGGUGAAGGAACUAGGCAAAAUGGUGCCGUAACUUCGGGAGAAGGCACGCUGGUGUGUAGGUGAAGUCCCUGCGGAUGGAGCUGAGACCAGUCGAAGAUACCAGCUGGCUGCAACUGUUUAUUAAAAACACAGCACUGUGCAAACACGAAAGUGGACGUAUACGGUGUGACGCCUGCCCGGUGCCGGAAGGUUAAUUGAUGGGGUUAUCCGUAAGGAGAAGCUCUUGAUCGAAGCCCCGGUAAACGGCGGCCGUAACUAUAACGGUCCUAAGGUAGCGAAAUUCCUUGUCGGGUAAGUUCCGACCUGCACGAAUGGCGUAAUGAUGGCCAGGCUGUCUCCACCCGAGACUCAGUGAAAUUGAACUCGCUGUGAAGAUGCAGUGUACCCGCGGCAAGACGGAAAGACCCCGUGAACCUUUACUAUAGCUUGACACUGAACAUUGAGCCUUGAUGUGUAGGAUAGGUGGGAGGCUUUGAAGCGUGGACGCCAGUCUGCGUGGAGCCAACCUUGAAAUACCACCCUUUAAUGUUUGAUGUUCUAACGUUGGCCCCUUACCGGGGUUGCGGACAGUGUCUGGUGGGUAGUUUGACUGGGGCGGUCUCCUCCCAAAGCGUAACGGAGGAGCACGAAGGUUAGCUAAUCCUGGUCGGACAUCAGGAGGUUAGUGCAAUGGCAUAAGCUAGCUUGACUGCGAGCGUGACGGCGCGAGCAGGUGCGAAAGCAGGUCAUAGUGAUCCGGUGGUUCUGAAUGGAAGGGCCAUCGCUCAACGGAUAAAAGGUACUCCGGGGAUAACAGGCUGAUACCGCCCAAGAGUUCAUAUCGACGGCGGUGUUUGGCACCUCGAUGUCGGCUCAUCACAUCCUGGGGCUGAAGUAGGUCCCAAGGGUAUGGCUGUUCGCCAUUUAAAGUGGUACGCGAGCUGGGUUUAGAACGUCGUGAGACAGUUCGGUCCCUAUCUGCCGUGGGCGCUGGAGAAUUGAGGGGGGCUGCUCCUAGUACGAGAGGACCGGAGUGGACGCAUCACUGGUGUUCGGGUUGUCAUGCCAAUGGCACUGCCCGGUAGCUAAAUGCGGAAGAGAUAAGUGCUGAAAGCAUCUAAGCACGAAACUUGCCCCGAGAUGAGUUCUCCCUGAGACUUUAAGUCUCCUGAAGGAACGUUAAAGACGAUGACGUUGAUAGGCCGGGUGUGUAAGCGCAGCGAUGCGUUGAGCUAACCGGUACUAAUGAACCGUGAGGCUUAACCUU